CCUCAAACUACGACGCUCAUGACACUUUUCUCAACUUUUAAUUUAUUAUAAUUGCUGAUUCGAACUUUAUAAAUUAUUAUAACUAAAUCUCUCAACAUAAUUUAAUGGACUAAAUUGAUAGAUCUGAAAAACGAUAUAGUGUUCUAAUUACUAUCACUUUAUGUAUCAUAAUACUAUUACAUUACUUCAGCAUCAACAACACCUCAAUAUUUAAUCAACUAAAUUAGAUUAUAAAAUUUAAUUAUAAUAAUUUAAAACUUUUGAAUAAGAAAUGAAAAAAUAAAACUUGAGAACCAAAAUAUCU
This 304-nucleotide long non-coding RNA is filed under the name Ananas comosus (pineapple). Its description in RNAcentral is "long non-coding RNA (ACOM_LNC007536)". Lineage: Eukaryota; Viridiplantae; Streptophyta; Magnoliopsida; Poales; Bromeliaceae. The record is from RNAcentral.